Molecule: ribosomal RNA, 397 nt
Filed under: uncultured bacterium
Lineage: Bacteria
Description: partial 16S ribosomal RNA
Rfam family: Bacterial small subunit ribosomal RNA
Source: RNAcentral
AUACGUAGGUGACAAGCGUUAUCCGGAUUUACUGGGCGUAAAGGGCGUGUAGGCGGUCUUGCAAGUCAGAAGUGAAAUUCCUGAGCUCAACUCGGGCGCUGCUUCUGAAACUGCAGGACUUGAGUGCUGGAGGGGAUAGCGGAAUUCCUAGUGGAGCGGUAAAAUGCGCAGAUAUUAGGAAGAACACCGGCGGCGAAGGCGGCUAUCUGGACAGUAACUGACGCUGAGGCGCGAAAGCGUGGGGAGCAAACAGGAUUAGAUACCCUGGUAGUCCACACUGUAAACGAUGAAUGCUAGGUGUAAGAGGUAUCGACCCCUUUUGUGCCGGAGUCAACACAAUAAGCAUUCCGCCUGGGGAGUACGGCCGCAAGGUUGAAACUCAAAUGAAUUGACGGGG